Molecule: ribosomal RNA, 253 nt
Filed under: uncultured bacterium
Lineage: Bacteria
Description: partial 16S ribosomal RNA
Rfam family: Bacterial small subunit ribosomal RNA
Source: RNAcentral
AAUACUUUGGUGGCGACCGGCGCACGGGUGCGUAACGCGUAUGCAACCACCUUUAACAGGGGCAUAACACUGAGAAAUUGGUACUAAUUCCCCAUAACAUUCGAGAAGGCAUCUUCUUGGGUUAAAAACUCCGGUGGUUAAAGAUGGGCAUGCGUUGUAUUAGCUAGUUGGUGAGGUAACGGCUCACCAAGGCAACGAUACAUAGGGGGACUGAGAGGUUAACCCCCCACAUUGGUACUGAGACACGGACCAA